UCUCCUGGAAACGGGUGGUAAUGCCGGAUGUUCCACAUGAGCGCAUGCGAGUGUGGGAAAGGCUUUUUGCGGCAUGGGAUGGGGUCGCGUCCUAUCAGCUUGUUGGUGGGGUAACGGCCUACCAAGGCGUUGACGGGUAGCCGGCCUGAGAGGGCGACCGGCCACAUUGGGACUGAGAUACGGCCCAGACUCCUACGGGAGGCAGCAGUGGGGAAUAUUGCACAAUGGGCGCAAGCCUGAUGCAGCGACGCCGCGUGCGGGAUGGAGGCCUUCGGGUUGUAAACCGCUUUUGUUCAAGGGCAAGGCACGGUUUCGGCCGUGUUGAGUGGAUUGUUCGAAUAAGCACCGGCUAACUACGUGCCAGCAGCCGCGGUAAUACGUAGGGUGCAAGCGUUAUCCGGAUUUAUUGGGCGUAAAGGGCUCGUAGGCGGUUCGUCGCGUCCGGUGUGAAAGUCCAUCGCUUAACGGUGGAUCCGCGCCGGGUACGGGCGGGCUUGAGUGCGGUAGGGGAGACUGGAAUUCCCGGUGUAACGGUGGAAUGUGUAGAUAUCGGAAGAACACCUA
This 564-nucleotide ribosomal RNA is filed under the name uncultured Bifidobacterium sp. RNAcentral's name for it is "bacterial SSU rRNA". It matches the Rfam family "Bacterial small subunit ribosomal RNA", at positions 146 to 712 of the family's 1533-position model. Lineage: Bacteria; Bacillati; Actinomycetota; Actinomycetes; Bifidobacteriales; Bifidobacteriaceae. The record is from RNAcentral.